GAUUGAUCCUGGCUCAGGACGAACGCUGGCGGCGUGCUUAACACAUGCAAGUCGAGCGGUAAGGCCCUUUCGGGGGUACACGAGCGGCGAACGGGUGAGUAACACGUGGGUGGCCUGCCCUCAGCUCUGGGAUAAGCCUGGGAAACCGGGUCUAAUACCGGAUAUGACUUCACGGUGCAUGCCGUGAGGUGGAAAGCCUUGUGCGGCUGAGGAUGGGCCCGCGGCCUAUCAGCUUGUUGGUGGGGUGAUGGCCUACCAAGGCGACGACGGGUAGCCGGCCUGAGAGGGCGACCGGCCACACUGGGACUGAGACACGGCCCAGACUCCUACGGGAGGCAGCAGUGGGGAAUCUUGCGCAAUGGGCGAAAGCCUGACGCAGCGACGCCGCGUGAGGGAUGACGGCCUUCGGGUUGUAAACCUCUUUCAGCUCCGACGAAGCGAAAGUGACGGUAGGAGCAGAAGAAGCACCGGCCAACUACGUGCCAGCAGCCGCGGUAAUACGUAGGGUGCGCGUUGUCCGGAAUUAUUGGGCGUAACGAGCUCGUAGGCGGUCCGUCGCGUCGGCUGUGAAAACUCGGGGCUCAACUCCGAGCUUGCAGUCGAUACGGGCAGACUAGAGUUCGGCAGGGGAGACUGGAAUUCCUGGUGUAGCGGUGAAAUGCGCAGAUAUCAGGAGGAAACCGGUGGCGAAGGCGGGUCUCUGGGCCGAUACUGACGCUGAGGAGCGAAAGCGUGGGGAGCGAACAGGAUUAGAUACCCUGGUA
This 764-nucleotide ribosomal RNA is filed under the name uncultured Crossiella sp. Its description in RNAcentral is "bacterial SSU rRNA". It matches the Rfam family "Bacterial small subunit ribosomal RNA", at positions 11 to 792 of the family's 1533-position model. The record is from RNAcentral. Lineage: Bacteria; Bacillati; Actinomycetota; Actinomycetes; Pseudonocardiales; Pseudonocardiaceae.